Molecule: ribosomal RNA, 253 nt
Filed under: uncultured bacterium
Lineage: Bacteria
Description: partial 16S ribosomal RNA
Rfam family: Bacterial small subunit ribosomal RNA
Source: RNAcentral
UACAGAGGGGGCAAGCGUUAUUCGGAAUUAUUGGGCGUAAAGGGCGCGUAGGCGGCCUUGCAAGUGACGGGUGAAAUCCCUCGGCUUAACCGAGGAACUGCCUGUCAAACUGCAUGGCUUGAGACCGGGAGAGGUGAGUGGAAUUCCCAGUGUAGCGGUGAAAUGCGUAGAUAUUCGGAGGAACACCAGUGGCGAAGGCGGCUCACUGGUCCAUUACUGACGCUGAGGUGCGAAAGCGUGGGGAGCAAACAGG